CGUACCUUUUGUAUAAUGGGUCAGCGACUUACAUUCAGUAGCAAGCUUAACCGAUAGGGGAGGCGUAGCGAAAGCGAGUCCGAAUAGGGCGUCCAGUUGCUGGGUGUAGACCCGAAACCAAGUGAUCUAUCCAUGGCCAGGUUGAAGGUGCCGUAACAGGUACUGGAGGACCGAACCCACUAAUGUUGAAAAAUUAGGGGAUGAGCUGUGGAUAGGGGUGAAAGGCUAAUCAAACUUGGAGAUAGCUGGUUCUCUCCGAAAACUAUUUAGGUAGUGCCUCGUAUAUCAUUCUCGGGGGUAGAGCACUGUUAUGGCUAGGGGGUACAUACGUACUUACCAAACCAUUGCAAACUCCGAAUACCGAGAAAUGCAAUUACGGGAGACAGACUGCGGGUGCUAACGUCCGUAGUCAAGAGGGAAACAACCCAGACCGACAGCUAAGGUCCCAAAUGACGUGCUAAGUGGAAAACGAGGUGGGAAGGCACAGACAGCCAGGAGGUUGGCUUAGAAGCAGCCAUCCUUUAAAGAAAGCGUAAUAGCUCACUGGUCGAGUCGUCCUGCGCGGAAGAUGUAACGGGGCUAAGCACGUAACCGAAGCUUCGGAUACUAAUUUAUUAGUAUGGUAGGAGAGCGUUCUGUAGGCCUGUGAAGGUGUUCUGUGAGGAAUGCUGGAGGUAUCAAAGGGGGUGAAAAGCCCCCUCGCCGAAAGCCCAAGGUUUCCUGCGCAACGUUCAUCGGCGCAGGGUGAGUCGGCCCCUAAGGUGAGGCAGAGAUGCGUAGCUGAUGGGAAAUAGGUUAAUAUUCCUAUACCUCUAUACAAUGCGAUGUGGGGACGGAGAAGGUUAGAUCAGCCGGGUGUUGGAUGUCCCGGUUCAAGCGAGUAGGUUGGUUCUUUAGGCAAAUCCGGAGAGCUAAGACCGAGACGUGAUAACGAGUGUACUUUGUACAUGAAGUGAUUGAUACCAUGCUUCCAAGAAAAGCCACUAAGCUUCAGUUGUAUAAGACCGUACCGCAAACCGACACAGGUGGGCAGGAUGAGAAUUCUAAGGCGCUUGAGAGAACUCUAGAGAAGGAACUCGGCAAAAUAACACCGUAACUUCGGGAGAAGGUGUGCCCCGGUAGUGUGUAGCGAUUUACUCGUGAAGCAUGAUGGGGUUGCAGUGAAAAGGUGGCUGCGACUGUUUAAUAAAAACAUAGCACUGUGCUAACACGAAAGUGGACGUAUACGGUGUGACGCCUGCCCGGUGCUGGAAGAUUAAAUGAUGGGGUGCAAGCUCUUGAUUGAAGUCCCAGUAAACGGCGGCCGUAACUAUAACGGUCCUAAGGUAGCGAAAUUCCUUGUCGGGUAAGUUCCGACCCGCACGAAUGGCGUAACGAUGGCCACACUGUCUCCUCUAGGGACUCAGCGAAGUUGAAGUGGUUGUGAAGAUGCAAUCUACCCGCGGCUAGACGGAAAGACCCCAUGAACCUUUACUGCAGCUUUACAUUGGACUUUGAUAACAUCUGUGUAGGAUAGGUGGGAGACGUUGAAAUAGGGACGCUAGUUCUUAUGGAGUCACCCUUGAAAUACCACCCUGGUGUUGUUGAGGUUCUAACCUUGGUCCAUUAUCUGGAUCGGGGACCGUGUAUGGUGGGCAGUUUGACUGGGGCGGUCUCCUCCCAAAGAGUAACGGAGGAGUGCGAAGGUAACCUAGGUACGGUCGGAAAUCGUACUGAUAGUGCAAUGGCAUAAGGUUGCUUGACUGCGAGACGGACAGGUCGAGCAGGUGCGAAAGCAGGUCAUAGUGAUCCGGUGGUUCUGUAUGGAAGGGCCAUCGCUCAACGGAUAAAAGGUACUCUGGGGAUAACAGGCUGAUUCCUCCCAAGAGUUCAUAUCGACGGGGGAGUUUGGCACCUCGAUGUCGGCUCAUCACAUCCUGGGGCUGUAGCCGGUCCCAAGGGUAUGGCUGUUCGCCAUUUAAAGUGGUACGUGAGCUGGGUUUAAAACGUCGUGAGACAGUUUGGUCCCUAUCUGCCGUGGGCGCUGGAAAUUUGAAGGGACCUGCUCCUAGUACGAGAGGACCGGAGUGGACGCAUCUCUGGUGAACCGGUUAUCACGCCAGUGGUAUCGCCGGGUAGCUAAAUGCGGAAGAGAUAAACGCUGAAAGCAUCUAAGCGUGAAACUCGCCUUGAGAUGAGAUUUCCCUGGGGGUUUAACCCCCCUAAAGAGUCGUUCGAGACCAGGACGUUGAUAGGUCAGGUGUGGAAGCGCUGUAAGGCGUGAAGCUAACUGAUACUAAUUGCUCGUGAGGCUUGAUC
Molecule: ribosomal RNA, 2298 nt
Filed under: hydrothermal vent metagenome
Description: bacterial LSU rRNA
Rfam family: Bacterial large subunit ribosomal RNA
Source: RNAcentral